GACGAACGCUGGCGGCGUGCCUAACACAUGCAAGUCGAGCGGGGUUGAAGCGAGGGGUAACUCGGACUUCUACCUAGCGGCGGACGGGUGAGUAACGCGUGGGCAACCUGCCUCAAGGUUUGGGAUAACAGCUCGAAAGGGCUGCUAAUACCGGAUAUGCCUGUGGCCUCGCAUGGGGCUAUGAGCAAAGGGGAAACCCGCCUUGAGAUGGGCCCGCGUCCCAUCAGCUAGUUGGUGAGGUGAAGGCUCACCAAGGCGACGACGGGUAGCCGGCCUGAGAGGGUGACCGGCCACACUGGGACUGAGACACGGCCCAGACUCCUACGGGGGGCAGCAGUGGGGGAUCUUGCACAAUGGGCGAAAGCCUGAUGCAGCGACGCCGCGUGAGCGAAGAAGGCCUUGGGUUGUAAAGCUCUGUCUGGAGGGACGAAACGAAAUAGACGGUACCUCCGGAGGAAGCCACGGCUAACUACGUG
Molecule: ribosomal RNA, 476 nt
Filed under: uncultured bacterium
Lineage: Bacteria
Description: bacterial SSU rRNA
Rfam family: Bacterial small subunit ribosomal RNA
Source: RNAcentral